UACGGGGGGAGCAAGCGUUGUUCGGAUUUACUGGGCGUAAAGGGCGCGUAGGCGGUCAGCACAAGUCAGUUGUGAAAUCUCCGGGCUUAACUCGGAAAGGUCAACUGAUACUGUGCGACUAGAGUGCGGAAGGGGCAACUGGAAUUCUCGGUGUAGCGGUGAAAUGCGCAGAUAUCGGGAGGAACACCAAUGGCGAAGGCAGCUCGCUGGGACGGUACUGACGCUGAGACGCGAAAGCGUGGGGAGCAAACAGG
Molecule: ribosomal RNA, 254 nt
Filed under: uncultured bacterium
Lineage: Bacteria
Description: partial 16S ribosomal RNA
Rfam family: Bacterial small subunit ribosomal RNA
Source: RNAcentral